GACGAACGCUGGCGGCGUGCCUAACACAUGCAAGUCGAACGGGGAUGCAGUUUGACAUUUUCGGAUGGAUAACUGUUAUCCUAGUGGCGGACGGGUGAGUAACGCGUGGGUAACCUGCCCUGUACCGGGGGAUAACCUGGGGAAACUCAGGCUAAUACCGCAUAGGGCCAAAGCUUCGCAUGAAGCAUUGGUGAAAACUCCGGUGGUACAGGAUGGGCCCGCGUCCCAUUAGCUGGUUGGUGAGGUAACGGCUCACCAAGGCGACGAUGGGUAGCCGACCUGAGAGGGUGAUCGGCCACACUGGGACUGAGACACGGCCCAGACUCCUACGGGAGGCAGCAGUGGGGAAUAUUGCGCAAUGGGGGAAACCCUGACGCAGCGACGCCGCGUGAGCGAUGAAGGCCUUCGGGUCGUAAAGCUCUGUUCCUGGGGACGAAGAAGUGACGGUACCCGGGGAGAAAGCCCCGGCUAACUACGUGCCAGCAGCCGCGGUAACACGUAGGGGGCUAGCGUUGUCCGGAAUUACUGGGCGUAAAGGGCGUGUAGGCGGCCCUGUAAGUCAGGUGUGAAAGGCCACAGCUUAACUGUGGUAUUGCACUUGAAACUGCGGGGCUUGAGUGCAGGAGAGGGAAACGGAAUUCCUGGUGUAGCGGUGAAAUGCGUAGAUAUCAGGAGGAACACCAGUGGCGAAGGCGGUUUCCUGGACUGUAACUGACGCUGAGGCGCGAAAGCGUGGGGAGCGAACAGGAUUAGAUACCCUGGUAGUCCACGCUGUAAACGAUGGGUACUAGGUGUGGGUAGUUCACACUAUCCGUGCCGCAGCUAACGCAUUAAGUACCCCGCCUGGGGAGUACGGCCGCAAGGUUGAAACUCAAAGGAAUUGACGGGGGCCCGCACAAGCAGCGGAGCAUGUGGUUUAAUUCGAAGCAACGCGAAGAACCUUACCAGGACUUGACAUCCCCUGACCGCCCUGGAGACAGGGUUUUCCCUUCGGGGACAGGGAGACAGGUGGUGCAUGGUUGUCGUCAGCUCGUGUCGUGAGAUGUUGGGUUAAGUCCCGCAACGAGCGCAACCCUUAUCGUUAGUUGCUAACACUUCGGGUGAGCACUCUAACGAGACUGCCGGGGACAACUCGGAGGAAGGUGGGGAUGACGUCAAAUCAUCAUGCCCCUUAUGUCCUGGGCUACACACGUGCUACAAUGGCCGGAACAAAGGGCAGCCAAGGAGUAAUCCGGAGCCAAUCCCAAAAAYCCGGUCCCAGUUCGGAUUGUGGGCUGCAACCCGCCCACAUGAAGUCGGAGUUGCUAGUAAUCGCGGAUCAGCCAUGCCGCGGUGAAUACGUUCCCGGGCCUUGUACACACCGCCCGUCACACCAUGGAAGUUGGGGGCACCCGAAGUCAGUGAGCCAACCUUUUUGGGGGCAGCUGCCGAAGGUGAAACCAAUGACUGGGGUG
Molecule: ribosomal RNA, 1454 nt
Filed under: uncultured bacterium
Lineage: Bacteria
Description: bacterial SSU rRNA
Rfam family: Bacterial small subunit ribosomal RNA
Source: RNAcentral